AUGGUAGCUUGCUACCAGGCGUCGAGCGGCGGACGGGUGAGUAAUACUUAGGAAUCUACCUAGUAGUGGGGGAUAGCACGGGGAAACUCGUAUUAAUACCGCAUACGACCUACGGGAGAAAGGGGGCAGUUUACUGCUCUCGCUAUUAGAUGAGCCUAAGUCGGAUUAGCUAGAUGGUGGGGUAAAGGCCUACCAUGGCGACGAUCUGUAGCUGGUCUGAGAGGAUGAUCAGCCACACCGGGACUGAGACACGGCCCGGACUCCUACGGGAGGCAGCAGUGGGGAAUAUUGGACAAUGGGGGAAACCCUGAUCCAGCCAUGCCGCGUGUGUGAAGAAGGCCUUUUGGUUGUAAAGCACUUUAAGCAGUGAAGAAGACUCCAUGGUUAAUACCCAUGGACGAUGACAUUAGCUGCAGAAUAAGCACCGGCUAACUCUGUGCCAGCAGCCGCGGUAAUACAGAGGGUGCAAGCGUUAAUCGGAAUUACUGGGCGUAAAGGGAGCGUAGGUGGCUCGAUAAGUCAGAUGUGAAAUCCCCGGGCUCAACCUGGGAACUGCAUCUGAUACUGUUGAGCUAGAGUAUGUGAGAGGAAGGUAGAAUUCCAGGUGUAGCGGUGAAAUGCGUAGAGAUCUGGAGGAAUACCGAUGGCGAAGGCAGCCUUCUGGCAUAAUACUGACACUGAGGCUCGAAAGCGUGGGUAGCAAACAGGAUUAGAUACCCUGGUAGUCCACGCCGUAAACGAUGUCUACUAGUCGUUGGGUCCCUUGAGGACUUAGUGACGGCACUAACGCAAUAAGUAGACCGCCUGGGGAGUACGGCCGCAAGGUUAAAACUCAAAUGAAUUGACGGGGGCCCGCACAAGCGGUGGAGCAUGUGGUUUAAUUCGAUGCAACGCGAAGAACCUUACCUGGUCUUGACAUAUCUAGAAUCCUGCAGAGAUGCGGGAGUGCCUUCGGGAAUUAGAAUACAGGUGCUGCAUGGCUGUCGUCAGCUCGUGUCGUGAGAUGUUGGGUUAAGUCCCGCAACGAGCGCAACCCUUGUCCUUAGUUACCAGCGGGUUAAGCCGGGAACUCUAAGGAUACUGCCAGUGACAAACUGGAGGAAGGCGGGGACGACGUCAAGUCAUCAUGGCCCUUACGACCAGGGCUACACACGUGCUACAAUGGUAGGUACAGAGGGCAGCUACACAGCGAUGUGAUGCGAAUCUCAAAAAGCCUAUCGUAGUCCAGAUUGGAGUCUGCAACUCGACUCCAUGAAGUAGGAAUCGCUAGUAAUCGCGGAUCAGAAUGCCGCGGUGAAUACGUUCCCGGGCCUUGUACACACCGCCCGUCACACCAUGGGAGUUGAUU
Molecule: ribosomal RNA, 1348 nt
Filed under: Psychrobacter sp. DAB_ALK66
Lineage: Bacteria; Pseudomonadati; Pseudomonadota; Gammaproteobacteria; Moraxellales; Moraxellaceae
Description: 16S ribosomal RNA
Rfam family: Bacterial small subunit ribosomal RNA
Source: RNAcentral